CUUAAGUGGGGAAUAACGCAUCGAAAGGUGUGCUAAUACCGCAUAAUCUCUGAGGAGAAAAGCAGGGGAUCGCAAGACCUUGCGCUUUUGGAGCGGCCGAUGUCUGAUUAGCUUGUAGGUGAGGUAAAAGCUUACCAAGGCUUCGAUCAGUAGCUGGUCUGAGAGGACGACCAGCCACACUGGGACUGAGACACGGCCCAGACUCCUACGGGAGGCAGCAGUGGGGAAUUUUGGACAAUGGGGGAAACCCUGAUCCAGCCAUGCCGCGUGAGUGAAGAAGGCCUUCGGGUUGUAAAGCUCUUUCAGCCGGAACGAAACGGUUACGGUUAAUACCCGUGACUACUGACGGUACCGGAAGAAGAAGCACCGGCUAACUACGUGCCAGCAGCCGCGGUAAUACGUAGGGUGCGAGCGUUAAUCGGAAUUACUGGGCGUAAAGCGUGCGCAGGUGGUUUUGUAAGUCAGAUGUGAAAUCCCCGGGCUUAACCUGGGAACUGCGUUUGAAACUACAAGGCUAG
RNAcentral lists this ribosomal RNA (518 nucleotides) under uncultured bacterium. RNAcentral describes it as "bacterial SSU rRNA". It matches the Rfam family "Bacterial small subunit ribosomal RNA", at positions 131 to 644 of the family's 1533-position model. The record is from RNAcentral.